This is a long non-coding RNA of Drosophila willistoni, 194 nucleotides long. RefSeq lists it as uncharacterized. The transcript is spliced from 3 exons. NCBI's taxonomy places the organism in Eukaryota, Metazoa, Arthropoda, Insecta, Diptera, Drosophilidae. The record is from RefSeq and is a predicted model, not a curated record.
CUCCAUGGGAAGGCUAUGUAUGUGUUUGUGCAGGGUUUUCUUGAAGAUUUUCCUUAUUCGUUAUGCUGCCUGAAUUUGAUUUUCCUUUAUCGACUCAAUAUCCAGAAAAUAUAUUUCAGCUGUUGUCGGCGAGAAAUUGAUUUGGAUCCGUUUUGGGUUUCUUGAAGAUUUUCCUUAUUCGUUAUGCUGCCUAA